UCACCUUCAAGCACAGCUUGGUGUUGGGCGUCUGUCCUCGCGGACUCGCCUCGAAACUAUUGGCAGCCACUCCAGCGGCUUUGAGCGCAGCAGAAUUGCGUCUCUCGCGGCGAGGGGGGGCAUCCAUAAGCUUACCUUUUA
This 141-nucleotide unclassified non-coding RNA is filed under the name uncultured Pleosporales. RNAcentral describes it as "sequence contains ITS2". Lineage: Eukaryota; Fungi; Ascomycota; Dothideomycetes; Pleosporales. The record is from RNAcentral.